This 321-nucleotide small nuclear RNA is filed under the name Microtus ochrogaster (prairie vole). RNAcentral describes it as "7SK RNA (ENSMOCG00000009607.1)". It matches the Rfam family "7SK RNA". Rfam says of the family: 7SK was discovered as an abundant small nuclear RNA in the mid-70s but a possible function has only recently been suggested. The record is from RNAcentral. Lineage: Eukaryota; Metazoa; Chordata; Mammalia; Rodentia; Cricetidae.
GGAUGUGAGGGCAAUUUGGCUGUGACAUCUUGAUAUUCAUCACCAGAACUGAUUCUGUUCAUCUUGAUGGCUAAAAGGGUGCCCCUUCCUCCCUUUCCACUCCAUGCAUAGCUCUCUAGGGCUGUAUGCUCCAUCAAAAAGGACAGCGUCUUCUAUAGGGGAGGGCCAUGCUUUGGUUGGUGACACCCAAGUAGCUGUGCUUUCCUGUUGGAAGCUCCAAUGGCUCUCAAGAAGGAUAUGUGAGACUAUGUCUCCUCAGGAUUUAUGUAGGAGCUGUAAGCAUGAACAGUGGGUCAGAAAGACUUAGUUCUGACCUUUGCU